AAAAGAAACCAACAGGGAUUGCCCCAGUAACGGCGAGUGAAGCGGCAACAGCUCAAAUUUGAAAUCUGGCUCUCAGGGCCCGAGUUGUAAUUUGUAGAGGAUGCUUUUGGCGAGGUGCCUUCCGAGUUCCCUGGAACGGGACGCCACAGAGGGUGAGAGCCCCGUAUGGUCGGACACCGAGCCUCUGUAAAGCUCCUUCGACGAGUCGAGUAGUUUGGGAAUGCUGCUCAAAAUGGGAGGUAUAUGUCUUCUAAAGCUAAAUAUUGGCCAGAGACCGAUAGCGCACAAGUAGAGUGAUCGAAAGAUGAAAAGCACUUUGAAAAGAGGGUUAAAAAGUACGUGAAAUUGUUGAAAGGGAAGCGCCUAUGACCAGACUUGCGCCCGGUGAAUCACCCAGCGUUCUCGCUGGUGCACUUUGCCGGGCACAGGCCAGCAUCAGUUCAGCGCGGGGGAGAAAGGCUUCGGGAAUGUGGCUCCCUCGGGAGUGUUAUAGCCCGCUGCGUAAUGCCCUGCGCCGGACUGAGGUACGCGCAUUGCAAGGAUGCUGGCGUAAUGGUCAUCAGCGACCCGUCUUGAAACACGGACCAAGGAGUCGUCUUCGUAUGCGAGUGUUCGGGUGUCAAACCCCUACGCGUAAUGAAAGUGAACGCAGGUGAGAGCUUCGGCGCAUCACCGACCGAUCCUGAUGUUCUCGGAUGGAUUUGAGUAAGAGCAUACGGGGCCGGACCCGAAAGAAGGUGAACUAUGCCUGUAUAGGGUGAAGCCAGAGGAAACUCUGGUGGAGGCUCGCAGCGGUUCUGACGUGCGAAUCGAUCGUCAAAUAUGGGCAUGGGGGCGAAAGACUAAUCGA
RNAcentral lists this ribosomal RNA (850 nucleotides) under Beauveria bassiana. RNAcentral's name for it is "partial large subunit ribosomal RNA". It matches the Rfam family "Eukaryotic large subunit ribosomal RNA", at positions 57 to 938 of the family's 3401-position model. Lineage: Eukaryota; Fungi; Ascomycota; Sordariomycetes; Hypocreales; Cordycipitaceae. The record is from RNAcentral.